GUAGGGUGCGAGCGUUGUCCGGAAUUAUUGGGCGUAAAGAGCUCGUAGGCGGCCUGUCGCGUCGGAUGUGAAAGCCCGGGGCUUAACCCUGGGUCUGCAUUCGAUACGGGCAGGCUGGAGUUCGGUAGGGGAGAUCGGAAUUCCUGGUGUAGCGGUGAAAUGCGCAGAUAUCAGGAGGAACACCGGUGGCGAAGGCGGAUCUCUGGGCCGAUACUGACGCUGAGGAGCGAAAGCAUGGGGAGCGAACAGGAUUAGAUACCCUGGUAGUCCAUGCCGUAAACGUUGGGCACUAGGUGUGGGCGACAUUCCACGUUGUCCGUGCCGCAGCUAACGCAUUAAGUGCCCCGCCUGGGGAGUACGGCCGCAAGGCUAAA
RNAcentral lists this ribosomal RNA (374 nucleotides) under uncultured bacterium. Its description in RNAcentral is "bacterial SSU rRNA". It matches the Rfam family "Bacterial small subunit ribosomal RNA", at positions 527 to 898 of the family's 1533-position model. The record is from RNAcentral.